Bombyx mori (domestic silkworm) is the source of this 553-nucleotide long non-coding RNA. RefSeq lists it as uncharacterized. The record is from RefSeq and is a predicted model, not a curated record. NCBI's taxonomy places the organism in Eukaryota, Metazoa, Arthropoda, Insecta, Lepidoptera, Bombycidae. The transcript is spliced from 2 exons.
UAUGUAAAAAAAUAAUCGAAAUUUAAAUAAAACUGAAGUAAUAAUUUUGAAAACACAAAAGAACGAACAAUAUUAUGUUGAGCAGGAAAAGAAAGCAAAGGGAUUUUAUAAAAAAAAAAAAAACACAAUAUGUCAUUUGACAACUGUCAAGUGUCUCCGUAUUCGAAAAGAAUGUGUAUAAUUUUCACAAAUCCUCACUUUUGUUGUAUUAUUUGUAUUUUAGUUCAUUUGUGAUACGCACAAUAGUUGCCUUUCGACCGCCACUUGUUCAAACUCCGAUCAAUCCGCUUUCAGCUAUUUAAUGACUCAGUUUUGGAACGAAGUUCCUUAUGGGACGAUGCGGAGGGUGCGCUAACCGGGAAAAAACGUCCGUAACGUAAGAUUUUUAUUAUUUAUGUAUAUGUCUUAGUAUGAUGGCUAUACAGUGUCCAAUGUAUAGUCUACGUGAUGACGGUUAUUAUUAUUAUUCAUAUAAAUAGCUGUUUCUUGGUAUGUUAUUAUUAUAUAUUUUUUAUAAAUCAUUGUUAAUAAAAUAAAGUUGAUAACUUUGUAA